GGGGUUAUAGUUAAUAAUAACAUUUGAGUUGCAUUCAAAAAGUACUGCCCCAUUAGCAGUUAACCUCA
Molecule: transfer RNA, 68 nt
Filed under: Pericapritermes parvus
Lineage: Eukaryota; Metazoa; Arthropoda; Insecta; Blattodea; Termitidae
Description: tRNA-Ala
Source: RNAcentral